This 489-nucleotide ribosomal RNA is filed under the name uncultured bacterium. RNAcentral describes it as "partial 16S ribosomal RNA". It matches the Rfam family "Bacterial small subunit ribosomal RNA", at positions 28 to 523 of the family's 1533-position model. The record is from RNAcentral.
GACGAACGCUUGCGGCGUGCCUAAGCUAUGCAAGUCGAGCGGGGUUUGGUUUGAGUCUUCGGACGAUUUCCAAACCUAGCGGCGAACGGGUGAGUAACACGUGAGCAACCUGCCUCGCUGUCCGGGAUAACAGACCGAAAGGGCUGCUAAUACCGGAUAUGAAGCGCCCCCGCCUGAGGGCGCUUGGAAAGGGGUAACCCACAGCGAGAGGGGCUCGCGGCCUAUCAGCUAGUUGGUGAGGUAACGGCCCACCAAGGCGACGACGGGUAGCCGACCUGAGAGGGUGACCGGCCACACUGGGACUGAGACACGGCCCAGACUCCUACGGGAGGCAGCAAGCGGGAAUAUUGCACAAUGGGCGAAAGCCUGAUGCAGCGACGCCGCGUGAGGGACGAAGGCCUUCGGGUCGUAAACCUCUGUUGGUAGGGACGAUAAUGACGGUACCUACUGAGGAAGCUCCGGCUAACUCCGUGCCAGCCGCCGCCGUAA